GCCCAAGAGAUCGGGAUAACACCUGGAAACAGAUGCUAAUACCGGAUAACAACAGAUGAUGCCUAUCAACUGUUUAAAAGAUGGUUCUGCUAUCACUCUUGGAUGGACCUGCGGUGCAUUAGCUAGUUGGUAGGGUAACGGCCUACCAAGGCGAUGAUGCAUAGCCGAGUUGAGAGACUGAUCGGCCACAUUGGGACUGAGACACGGCCCAAACUCCUACGGGGGAGGCAGCAGCG
This 236-nucleotide ribosomal RNA is filed under the name uncultured Lactobacillus sp. RNAcentral describes it as "partial 16S ribosomal RNA". It matches the Rfam family "Bacterial small subunit ribosomal RNA", at positions 128 to 356 of the family's 1533-position model. The record is from RNAcentral. Lineage: Bacteria; Bacillati; Bacillota; Bacilli; Lactobacillales; Lactobacillaceae.